Molecule: ribosomal RNA, 467 nt
Filed under: uncultured bacterium
Lineage: Bacteria
Description: partial 16S ribosomal RNA
Rfam family: Bacterial small subunit ribosomal RNA
Source: RNAcentral
ACGAACGCUGGCGGCGUGCUUCACACAUGCAAGUCGCACGGAAAGGCCCUGCUUUUGUGGGGUGCUCGAGUGGCGAACGGGUGAGUAACACGUGAGUAACCUGCCCUUGACUUUGGGAUAACUUCAGGAAACUGGGGCUAAUACCGGAUAGGAGCUCCUGCUGCAUGGUGGGGGUUGGAAAGUUUCGGCGGUUGGGGAUGGACUCGCGGCUUAUCAGCUUGUUGGUGGGGUAGUGGCUUACCAAGGCUUUGACGGGUAGCCGGCCUGAGAGGGGGACCGGCCACAUUGGGACUGAGAUACGGCCCAGACUCCUACGGGAGGCAGCAGUGGGGAAUAUUGCACAAUGGGCGGAAGCCUGAUGCAGCAACGCCGCGUGCGGGAUGACGGCCUUCGGGUUGUAAACCGCUUUCGCCUGUGACGAAGCGUGAGUGACGGUAAUGGGUAAAGAAGCACCGGCUAACUACGUG